GAUGAAGAACGUAGCGAAAUGCGAUAAGUAAUGUGAAUUGCAGAACUCAGUGAAUCAUCGAAUCUUUGAACGCACAUUGCGCCCCCUGGCUUUCCGGGGGGCAUGCCUGUCCGAGCGUCAUUGCUGCCCUCAAGCACGGCUUGUGUGUUGGGCCUCCGUCCUCCUCCCGGGGGACGGGCCCGAAAGGCAGCGGCGGCACCGCGUCCGGUCCUCGAGCGUAUGGGGCUUCGUCACCCGCUCUUGUAGGCCCGGCCGGCGCUUGCCGACACAUCAAUCUUUUUUCCAGGUUGACCUCGGAUCAGGUAGGGAUACCCGCUGAACUUAAGCAUAUCAAUAAGCGGAGGA
Molecule: unclassified non-coding RNA, 345 nt
Filed under: soil metagenome
Description: partial contains 5.8S ribosomal RNA, internal transcribed spacer 2, and large subunit ribosomal RNA
Rfam family: 5.8S ribosomal RNA (bases 1-120)
Source: RNAcentral